UCACUCUGGUUUCUCUUCAAUCCCACGCAUAAAUCUUUCGCCUUUUACUAAAGAUUUCCGUGGAGAGGAACACUCUAAUGAGUCUAUAGACAUUUUUCAUAGCCCUGCCAACGGCAGGGUA
Lineus longissimus is the source of this 121-nucleotide small nuclear RNA. RefSeq annotates it as U5 spliceosomal RNA. The record is from RefSeq and is a predicted model, not a curated record. Lineage: Eukaryota; Metazoa; Nemertea; Pilidiophora; Heteronemertea; Lineidae. The transcript has a single exon.